This 604-nucleotide ribosomal RNA is filed under the name Leucosporidium fragarium. RNAcentral's name for it is "eukaryotic LSU rRNA". It matches the Rfam family "Eukaryotic large subunit ribosomal RNA", at positions 54 to 655 of the family's 3401-position model. The record is from RNAcentral. Lineage: Eukaryota; Fungi; Basidiomycota; Microbotryomycetes; Leucosporidiales; Leucosporidiaceae.
AGGAAAAGAAACUAACAAGGAUUCCCCUAGUAACGGCGAGUGAAGCGGGAAGAGCUCAAAUUUGUAAUCUGGCACUUUCAGUGUCCGAGUUGUAAUCUCGAGAAGUAUUUUCCGCGCCGGACCGCAUACAAGUCUGUUGGAAUACAGCGUCAUAGUGGUGAGAACCCCGUAACUGAUGCGGAUGCCCGGUGCUUUGUGAUAUACUUUCGAAGAGUCGAGUUGUUUGGGAAUGCAGCUCAAAUUGGGUGGUAAAUUCCAUCUAAAGCUAAAUAUUGGAGCAAGACCGAUAGCGAACAAGUACCGUGAGGGAAAGAUGAAAAGCACUUUGGAAAGAGAGUUAACAGUACGUGAAAUUGUUGGAAGGGAAACGCUUGAAGUCAGACUUGCUAUUCGGAGUUCAGCCGCAAGGUGUAUUCUUCGAUUCGCAGGCCAGCAUCAGUUUUCGGGGGUGGAAAAUCGCGGUUUGAAGGUAGCAACUUCGGUUGUGUUAUAGCUUUCCGCUGGAUUCAUCCUUGGGGACUGAGGAACGCAGUACGCUUUUUGCAAGGCUCUCGAGCUUUUCGUACUUAGGAUGCUGGUGGAAUGGCUUUAAACGACCCGUCUU